Molecule: long non-coding RNA, 293 nt
Filed under: Solanum tuberosum (potato)
Lineage: Eukaryota; Viridiplantae; Streptophyta; Magnoliopsida; Solanales; Solanaceae
Description: long non-coding RNA (STUB_LNC001022)
Source: RNAcentral
UCUUUGAUCCUUGAAAUCCCGCCUAAAUGAUUAGCCAAUAACCCUAGUUCAUUGAUAUAAAUAUUAGCAUACUGCACUGAUUUUAGGGAAGUUUUUUCCAGUCCCAAUAGCAUCUUAAGCGACUUCUUGUUUGCUCUAAAUAUCACCCUUAUUCUUUUUCGAUCUCGUCCACCACUCGGGUUUCAAGCCUGCUAGAGUUCAUAUUGGUUCGAAUAUAGACCUUUGAUCGCAACUCCCGUUCACUGCCCUGCAAUAGGUGAUAUUCGCCUCCUCCUCCUCUCUGUUUUCUUCNN